GGUCUGGUGGUGUAGUUGGUUAUCACGUCAGUCUAACAGCUCGAGGCGACUCGAACUGGGCACACUGAAGGUCUCCGGUUCAAGUCCGGGCUAGAUCA
The sequence is a transfer RNA, 98 nucleotides long. It matches the Rfam family "tRNA". From Rfam's summary of the family: Transfer RNA (tRNA) molecules are approximately 80 nucleotides in length. Their secondary structure includes four short double-helical elements and three loops (D, anti-codon, and T loops). Further hydrogen bonds mediate the characteristic L-shaped molecular structure. tRNAs have two regions of fundamental functional importance: the anti-codon, which is responsible for specific mRNA codon recognition, and the 3' end, to which the tRNAs corresponding amino acid is attached (by aminoacyl-tRNA synthetases). tRNAs cope with the degeneracy of the genetic code in two manners: having more than one tRNA (with a specific anti-codon) for a particular amino acid; and 'wobble' base-pairing, i.e. permitting non-standard base-pairing at the 3rd anti-codon position. The record is from Rfam.